Molecule: ribosomal RNA, 611 nt
Filed under: uncultured bacterium
Lineage: Bacteria
Description: bacterial SSU rRNA
Rfam family: Bacterial small subunit ribosomal RNA
Source: RNAcentral
AAACUCAAAGGAAUUGACGGGGGCCCGCACAAGCGGUGGAGCAUGUGGUUUAAUUCGAUGCAACGCGAAGAACCUUACCUACUCUUGACAUCCAGAGAAGUUUGCAGAGAUGCGAACGUGCCUUCGGGAACUCUGAGACAGGUGCUGCGUGGCUGUCGUCAGCUCGUGUUGUGAAAUGUUGGGUUAAGUCCCGCAACGAGCGCAACCCUUAUCCUUUGUUGCCAGCGAUUCGGUCGGGAACUCAAAGGAGACUGCCAGUGAUAAACUGGAGGAAGGUGGGGAUGACGUCAAGUCAUCAUGGCCCUUACGAGUAGGGCUACACACGUGCUACAAUGGCAUAUACAAAGAGAAGCGACCUCGCGAGAGCAAGCGGACCUCAUAAAGUAUGUCGUAGUCCGGAUUGGAGUCUGCAACUCGACUCCAUGAAGUCGGAAUCGCUAGUAAUCGUGGAUCAGAAUGCCACGGUGAAUACGUUCCCGGGCCUUGUACACACCGCCCGUCACACCAUGGGAGUGGGUUGCAAAAGAAGUAGGUAGCUUAACCUUCGGGAGGGCGCUUACCACUUUGUGAUUCAUGACUGGGGUGAAGUCGUAACAAGGUAMCCGUAGGGG